This 73-nucleotide transfer RNA is filed under the name Parcubacteria group bacterium ADurb.Bin016. Its description in RNAcentral is "tRNA-Arg". It matches the Rfam family "tRNA". From Rfam's summary of the family: Transfer RNA (tRNA) molecules are approximately 80 nucleotides in length. Their secondary structure includes four short double-helical elements and three loops (D, anti-codon, and T loops). The record is from RNAcentral.
GCUCCCGUGGUGAAAUGGAUAUCACGCUUGGCUUCGGACCAAGUAUUUUGGGUUCGAAUCCUGACGGGAGCGC